GCGAAGGUAGCGUAAUCACUUGUUCUUUAAUUGAGGACUAGUAUGAAUGGCUUCACGAGGACUAUACUGUCUCCUUUUUCUAAUCAAUGAAACUAAUCUUCCCGUGAAGAAGCGGGAAUAACUUUAUAAGACGAGAAGACCCUAUGGAGCUUUAAACAAUUGGAAUACUUGCUUUUACUAAUUACCUCCGGGGACUAAAUAUAUUUAAGCAUUAUUAAUUUCUAGUUUUAGGUUGGGGUGACCACGGAGUAAAACUUAACCUCCACGCUGAAAGUAACGCCUUCUUAGCAAAAAGCCACAUCUUUAUGCAUCACCAAACUGACUCACAUUGACCCAAUUAUUUGAUCAACGAACCAAGUUACCCUAGGGAUAACAGCGCAAUCUACCUCAAGAGCCCGUAUCAACAGGUAGGUUUACGACCUCGAU
Molecule: ribosomal RNA, 426 nt
Filed under: Phyllobates lugubris
Lineage: Eukaryota; Metazoa; Chordata; Amphibia; Anura; Dendrobatidae
Description: partial large subunit ribosomal RNA
Rfam family: Bacterial large subunit ribosomal RNA
Source: RNAcentral